Molecule: ribosomal RNA, 429 nt
Filed under: Verrucomicrobiota bacterium
Lineage: Bacteria; Pseudomonadati; Verrucomicrobiota
Description: Verrucomicrobia bacterium partial 16S ribosomal RNA
Rfam family: Bacterial small subunit ribosomal RNA
Source: RNAcentral
UAGGGAAUCUUCCGCAAUGGACGAAAGUCUGACGGAGCAACGCCGCGUGAGUGAAGAAGGAUUUCGGUUCGUAAAACUCUGUUGUUAGGGAAGAAAAAAUGUAUAGUAACUAUAUACAAAAGAGACGGUACCUAACCAGAAAGCCACGGCUAACUACGUGCCAGCAGCCGCGGUAAUACGUAGGUGGCAAGCGUUGUCCGGAAUUAUUGGGCGUAAAGCGCGCGCAGGUGGUUUAGAAAGUCUGAUGUGUAAGCCCACGGCUCAACCGUGGAGGGUCAUUGGAAACUAAUAAACUUGAGUGCAGGAGAGAAAAGUGGAAUUCCUAGUGUAGCGGUGAAAUGCGUAGAGAUUAGGAGGAACACCGGUGGCGAAAGCGGCUUUUUGGCCUGCAACUGACACUGAGGCGCGAAAGCGUGGGGAGCAAACAGG